AGUUUGAUCCUGGCUCAGGACGAACGCUGGCGGCGUGCCUAAUACAUGCAAGUCGAGCGGACAGAAGGGAGCUUGCUUCCCGGAUGUUAGCGGCGGACGGGUGAGUAACACGUGGGUAACCUGCCUGUAAGACUGGGAUAACUCCGGGAAACCGGAGCUAAUACCGGAUAGUUCCUUGAACCGCAUGGUUCAAGGAUGAAAGACGGUUUCGGCUGUCACUUACAGAUGGACCCGCGGCGCAUUAGCUAGUUGGUGAGGUAACGGCUCACCAAGGCGACGAUGCGUAGCCGACCUGAGAGGGUGAUCGGCCACACUGGGACUGAGACACGGCCCAGACUCCUACGGGAGGCAGCAGUAGGGAAUCUUCCGCAAUGGACGAAAGUCUGACGGAGCAACGCCGCGUGAGUGAUGAAGGUUUUCGGAUCGUAAAGCUCUGUUGUUAGGGAAGAACAAGUGCAAGAGUAAC
RNAcentral lists this ribosomal RNA (466 nucleotides) under Bacillus sp. R-28766. RNAcentral's name for it is "bacterial SSU rRNA". It matches the Rfam family "Bacterial small subunit ribosomal RNA", at positions 10 to 465 of the family's 1533-position model. Lineage: Bacteria; Bacillati; Bacillota; Bacilli; Caryophanales; Bacillaceae. The record is from RNAcentral.